This 292-nucleotide ribosomal RNA is filed under the name uncultured Pseudomonas sp. RNAcentral describes it as "partial 16S ribosomal RNA". It matches the Rfam family "Bacterial small subunit ribosomal RNA", at positions 1089 to 1382 of the family's 1533-position model. The record is from RNAcentral. Lineage: Bacteria; Pseudomonadati; Pseudomonadota; Gammaproteobacteria; Pseudomonadales; Pseudomonadaceae.
GUAACGAGCGCAACCCUUGUCCUUAGUUACCAGCACGUUAUGGUGGGCACUCUAAGGAGACUGCCGGUGACAACCGGAGGAAGUGGGGAUGACGUCAAGUCAUCAUGGCCCUUACGGCCUGGGCUACACACGUGCUACAAUGGUCGGUACAAAGGGUUGCCAAGCCGCGAGGUGGAGCUAAUCCCAUAAAACCGAUCGUAGUCCGGAUCGCAGUCUGCAACUCGACUGCGUGAAGUCGGAAUCGCUAGUAAUCGUGAAUCAGAAUGUCACGGUGAAUACGUUCCCGGGCCUU